UACAGAGGCCCCAAGCGUUACUGAGAAUCACUGGGUUUAAAGGGUGCGUAGGUGGCGCGUUAAGUCCGUUGUGAAAUCCCUUGGCUCAACCAAGGAAAUGCUUCGGAUACUGGCGUGCUUGAGGCUAGUAUGGGUCACUGGAACUGACGGUGGAGCGGUGAAAUGCGUAGAUAUCGUCAGGAACGCCAAUGGUGAAGACAGGUGACUGGGCUAGAUCUGACACUGAGGCACGAAAGCGUGGGGAGCGAACGGG
Molecule: ribosomal RNA, 253 nt
Filed under: uncultured bacterium
Lineage: Bacteria
Description: partial 16S ribosomal RNA
Rfam family: Bacterial small subunit ribosomal RNA
Source: RNAcentral